GAUGAAGAACGCAGCAAACUGCGAUACUUGGUGUGAAUUGCAGAAUCCCGUGAACCAUCGAGUCUUUGAACGCAAGUUGCGCCUCAAGCCAUUAGGUUGAGGGCACGUCUGCCUGGGCGUCACAUAUCGUUGCCUGAUGCCAGUUUCCUCGUGAUGGGUGACUGUGCAGGGCGAAUGAUGGCUUCCCGUGAGCAUUGUUGCCUCAUGGUUGGUUGAAAAUUGAGUCCUUGGUAGGGAGCGCCGUGAUAGAUGGUGGUUGAGUGACGAACGAGACCCAAUCAUGUGAGACCCCUACCGAAUUUGGCCUUCAUGACCCACAUGCGUCUUUGGAACGCUCAUGACGAGACCUCAGGUCAGGCGGGGCUACCCGCUGAGUUUAAGCAUAUCAAUAAGCGGAGGA
This 400-nucleotide unclassified non-coding RNA is filed under the name soil metagenome. Its description in RNAcentral is "partial contains 5.8S ribosomal RNA, internal transcribed spacer 2, and large subunit ribosomal RNA". The stretch from base 1 to 122 matches the Rfam family "5.8S ribosomal RNA", at positions 35 to 154 of the family's 154-position model. The record is from RNAcentral.